AUUGAACGCUGGCGGAAUGCUUUACACAUGCAAGUCGAGCGGCAGCGCGGGGGCAACCCUGGCGGCGAGCGGCAAACGGGUGAGUAACACAUCGGAACGUACCCAGUUGUGGGGGAUAACCCGGCGAAAGCCGGAUUAAUACCGCAUACGACCUGAGGGUGAAAGGGGGGGAUCGCAAGACCUCUCGCAGUUGGAGCGGCCGAUGGCGGAUUAGCUAGUUGGAGAGGUAAAGGCUCACCAAGGCGACGAUCCGUAGCUGGUUCGAGAGGACGACCAGCCACACGGGAACUGAGACACGGUCCAGACUCCUACGGGAGGCAGCAGUGGGGAAUUUUGGACAAUGGGGGCAACCCUGAUCCAGCCAUUCCGCGUGAGUGAAGAAGGCCUUCGGGUUGUAAAGCUCUUUCGGCAGGAACGAAACGGUGGAGGCUAAUACCUUUCAUCAAUGACGGUACCUGAAGAAGCACCGGCUAACUACGUGCCAGCCGCCGCCGUAA
RNAcentral lists this ribosomal RNA (497 nucleotides) under uncultured bacterium. Its description in RNAcentral is "partial 16S ribosomal RNA". It matches the Rfam family "Bacterial small subunit ribosomal RNA", at positions 29 to 523 of the family's 1533-position model. The record is from RNAcentral.